UACGAAGGGUGCAAGCGUUACUCGGAAUUACUGGGCGUAAAGCGUGCGUAGGUGGUUUGUUAAGUCUGUUGUGAAAUCCCCGAGCUCAACUUGGGAAUUGCAAUGGAUACUGGCAGGCUGGAGUAUGGUAGAGGAAGGUGGAAUUCCCGGUGUAGCAGUGAAAUGCGUAGAGAUCGGGAGGAACACCAGUGGCGAAGGCGGCCUUCUGGACCAAUACUGACGCUCAUGCACGAAAGCGUGGGGAGCAAACAGG
RNAcentral lists this ribosomal RNA (253 nucleotides) under uncultured bacterium. RNAcentral's name for it is "partial 16S ribosomal RNA". It matches the Rfam family "Bacterial small subunit ribosomal RNA", at positions 524 to 776 of the family's 1533-position model. The record is from RNAcentral.